Molecule: non-coding RNA, 24 nt
Filed under: Arabidopsis thaliana (thale cress)
Lineage: Eukaryota; Viridiplantae; Streptophyta; Magnoliopsida; Brassicales; Brassicaceae
Source: RNAcentral
UACACUUAGAAACAUUUGCUUAGU